AACGCACAUUGCGCCCGCCAGUAUUCUGGCGGGCAUGCCUGUUCGAGCGUCAUUUCAACCCUCAAGCCCCCCGGGUUUGGUGUUGGGUGCCGGCGUCCAGCGCUCCCCCCGCGGAGCGCCCGCCGCCCCCGAAAUGGAUUGGCGGUCUCGUCGCAGCCUCCCUUGCGUAGUAACAUACCACCUCGCAUGGCGGAGCGCGGCGCGGCCACUGCCGUAAAACAACCCAAUUUCUCAAGAGUUGACCUCGGAUCAGGUAGGAAUACCCGCUGAACUUAA
Molecule: unclassified non-coding RNA, 276 nt
Filed under: uncultured fungus
Lineage: Eukaryota; Fungi
Description: partial contains 5.8S ribosomal RNA, internal transcribed spacer 2, and large subunit ribosomal RNA
Rfam family: 5.8S ribosomal RNA (bases 1-52)
Source: RNAcentral